RNAcentral lists this ribosomal RNA (253 nucleotides) under uncultured bacterium. RNAcentral's name for it is "partial 16S ribosomal RNA". It matches the Rfam family "Bacterial small subunit ribosomal RNA", at positions 524 to 776 of the family's 1533-position model. The record is from RNAcentral.
GACGAACCGAGCGAACGUUGUUCGGAAUCACUGGGCUUAAAGGGUGCGUAGGCGGUCUGCCAAGUUUGGGGUGAAAUCCUCCGGCUCAACCGGGGAAGUGCCUCGAAUACUGGCGGUCUGGAGGGAGGUAGGGGCGUGCGGAACUAACGGUGGAGCGGUGAAAUGCGUUGAUAUCGUUAGGAACUCCGGUGGCGAAGGCGGCACGCUAGACCUCUUCUGACGCUGAGGCACGAAAGCCAGGGGAGCGAACGGG